AGCGAACGCUGGCGGCAGGCUUAACACAUGCAAGUCGAGCGGGUCCUUCGGGGUCAGCGGCGGACGGGUGAGUAACGCGUGGGAACGUGCCUUCUGGUUCGGAAUAACCCUGGGAAACUAGGGCUAAUACCGGAUACGCCCUUUUGGGGAAAGGUUUACUGCCGGAAGAUCGGCCCGCGUCUGAUUAGCUAGUUGGUGGGGUAACGGCCUACCAAGGCGACGAUCAGUAGCUGGUCUGAGAGGAUGAUCAGCCACACUGGGACUGAGACACGGCCCAGACUCCUACGGGAGGCAGCAGUGGGGAAUAUUGGACAAUGGGCGCAAGCCUGAUCCAGCCAUGCCGCGUGAGUGAUGAAGACCUUAGGGUUGUAAAGCUCUUUUAUCCGGGACGAUAAUGACGGUACCGGUGGAAUAAGCCCCGGCUAACUUCGUGCCAGCCGCCGCGGUAA
RNAcentral lists this ribosomal RNA (449 nucleotides) under uncultured bacterium. RNAcentral describes it as "partial 16S ribosomal RNA". It matches the Rfam family "Bacterial small subunit ribosomal RNA", at positions 29 to 523 of the family's 1533-position model. The record is from RNAcentral.